This 555-nucleotide long non-coding RNA is filed under the name Pongo abelii (Sumatran orangutan). Its description in RNAcentral is "lincRNA". Lineage: Eukaryota; Metazoa; Chordata; Mammalia; Primates; Hominidae. The record is from RNAcentral.
AAUAAUGUUAUCAUUUUGGUAAGAUUCUUCCAGACAGUAUGAUUAGGAUGUUACAUAAAUCGAACUGUGCUAUAUACAGUAUGCGGAGAAGGACAAUUCCUUAGCUUGUCUAAAGUCUGAUAGUGUGAAGAAUUUGCUGACCUGCUCUCCUUGCCUGUCUGAGCACGAGUGAAGUGAAUCAGAGAGAGACUGCAAGAUGGAGAAAGGAGGUACAGUUGGAGAGAGUGGAGGGGGCAGGAAAGACCAGACAGAGCUGCAUCUCCCAUGAAAACAACCGUGUACAUAUGAUAGAGUGAGUACAUAGAGUACAUAGAAGAGUGAGCUCUGAAAGAACUCUCACAUGGACCCCAGAAAGAGGAGUACUCAACGCCUGCUGCACAGAAGGCAUCAGCAGUAAGUACUGGCUAGAAAAGCAGAGUCCAUCAAAGGAGAGGACCACAGUGGUAGCUGGCUGUUACAAGCUAUUGAGGCACUCCAGAGUGACAGCAUGUGAUCCCCCUGACACAAGAAACAGGCCCAGAUAACACACCGUUCAGACCGACAGCAGUUCUGGUU